UGCAGUCGCACGAGAACGCUUCAGCUUGCUGAAGUUAGUAAAGUGGCGCACGGGUGAGUAACGCGUGGGUAAUCUACCCUUGAAUUGGGGAUAACCCGCCGAAAGGCGGACUAAUACCGGAUGAUAUCUUGAAUAUUUAGGUAUUCAUGAUCAAAGAUGGCCUCUACAUGUAAGCUAUUGUUUGGGGAUGAGCCCGCGUACCAUUAGCUUGUUGGUAGGGUAAUGGCCUACCAAGGCUACGAUGGUUAGCUGGUCUUAGAGGAUGAUCAGCCACACUGGAACUGACACACGGUCCAGACUCCUACGGGAGGCAGCAGUGAGGAAUUUUGCGCAAUGGGGGAAACCCUGACGCAGCAACGCCGCGUGAGUGAUGAAGGCUUUCGGGUCGUAAAGCUCUGUCAAGUGGGAAGAAUCCAUAUGGCGAUAAUACCGCCUUAUGCUGACGGUACCACUGAAGGAAGCACCGGCUAACUCCGUG
RNAcentral lists this ribosomal RNA (478 nucleotides) under uncultured bacterium. RNAcentral describes it as "bacterial SSU rRNA". It matches the Rfam family "Bacterial small subunit ribosomal RNA", at positions 56 to 507 of the family's 1533-position model. The record is from RNAcentral.